GACAGAGGGUGCAAACGUUGUUCGGAAUUACUGGGCGUAAAGCGCGUGUAGGCUGCUUCGCAAGUCGGAUGUGAAAGCCCUGGGCUCAACCCAGGAAGUGCAUUCGAAACUGCAGAGCUGGAGUCCUGGAGAGGAAGGCAGAAUUCUCGGUGUAGAGGUGAAAUUCGUAGAUAUCGAGAGGAACACCGGUGGCGAAGGCGGCCUUCUGGACAGUGACUAACGCUGAGACGCGAAAGCGUGGGGAGCAAACAGG
This 253-nucleotide ribosomal RNA is filed under the name uncultured bacterium. Its description in RNAcentral is "partial 16S ribosomal RNA". It matches the Rfam family "Bacterial small subunit ribosomal RNA", at positions 524 to 776 of the family's 1533-position model. The record is from RNAcentral.